This 449-nucleotide ribosomal RNA is filed under the name uncultured bacterium. RNAcentral's name for it is "bacterial SSU rRNA". It matches the Rfam family "Bacterial small subunit ribosomal RNA", at positions 329 to 794 of the family's 1533-position model. The record is from RNAcentral.
UGCCAGACUCCUACGGGAGGCAGCAGUGGGGGAUAUUGCACAAUGGGGGGAACCCUGAUGCAGCGACGCCGCGUGGGUGAAGGAGUGCUUCGGCAUGUAAAGCCCUAUCGGCAGGGAAGAAGCAAGACGGUACCUGACUAAGAAGCCCCGACUAACUACGUGCCAGCAGCCGCGGGAAUACGUAGGGGGCAAGCGUUAUCCGGAUUUACUGGGUGUAAAGGGAGCGUAGACGGAUGGAUAAGUCUGAAGUGAAAGCCCGCGGCUCAACUGCGGGACUGCUUUGGAAACUGUGCAUCUUGAGUACGGGAGGGGCAGGCGGAAUUCCUGGUGUAGCGGUGAAAUGCGUAGAUAUCAGGAGGAACACCGGCGGCGAAGGCGGCCUGCUGGACCGAAACUGACGUUGAGGCUCGAAAGCGUGGGGAGCAAACAGGAUUAGAUACCCUAGUAUU